UAGGGAAUCUUCCACAAUGGACGCAAGUCUGAUGGAGCAACGCCGCGUGAGUGAAGAAGGUUUUCGGACCGUAAAGCUCUGUUGUUGGUGAAGAAGGAUAGAGGUAGUAACUGGCCUUUAUUUGACGGUAAUCAACCAGAAAGUCACGGCUAACUACGUGCCAGCAGCCGCGGUAAUACGUAGGUGGCAAGCGUUGUCCGGAUUUAUUGGGCGUAAAGCGAGCGCAGGCGGAAGAAUAAGUCUGAUGUGAAAGCCCUCGGCUUAACCGAGGAAUUGCAUCGGAAACUGUUUUCUUGAGUGCAGAAGAGGAGAGUAGAACUCCAUGUGUAGCGGUGGAAUGCGUAGAUAUAUGGAAGAAUACCAGUGGCGAAGGCGGCUCUCUGGUCUGCAACUGACGCUGAGGCUCGAAAGCAUGGGUAGCGAACAGGAUUAGAUACCCUGGUAGUCCAUGCCGUAAACAAUGAGUGCUAAGUGUUGGGAGGCUUCCGCCUCUCAGUGCUGCAGCUAACGCAUUAAGCACUCCGCCUGGGGGAGUACGACCGCAAGGUUGAAAC
RNAcentral lists this ribosomal RNA (554 nucleotides) under uncultured bacterium. RNAcentral's name for it is "partial 16S ribosomal RNA". It matches the Rfam family "Bacterial small subunit ribosomal RNA", at positions 355 to 900 of the family's 1533-position model. The record is from RNAcentral.